This 757-nucleotide ribosomal RNA is filed under the name Sanguibacter sp. SP022. RNAcentral describes it as "bacterial SSU rRNA". It matches the Rfam family "Bacterial small subunit ribosomal RNA", at positions 573 to 1330 of the family's 1533-position model. Lineage: Bacteria; Bacillati; Actinomycetota; Actinomycetes; Micrococcales; Sanguibacteraceae. The record is from RNAcentral.
AGGCGGUUUGUCGCGUCUGGUGUGAAAACUCAAGGCUCAACCUUGAGCUUGCAUCGGGUACGGGCAGACUAGAGUGCGGUAGGGGUGACUGGAAUUCCUGGUGUAGCGGUGGAAUGCGCAGAUAUCAGGAGGAACACCGAUGGCGAAGGCAGGUCACUGGGCCGCAACUGACGCUGAGGAGCGAAAGCAUGGGUAGCGAACAGGAUUAGAUACCCUGGUAGUCCAUGCCGUAAACGUUGGGCACUAGGUGUGGGGCUCAUUCCACGAGUUCCGUGCCGCAGCUAACGCAUUAAGUGCCCCGCCUGGGGAGUACGGCCGCAAGGCUAAAACUCAAAGGAAUUGACGGGGGCCCGCACAAGCGGCGGAGCAUGCGGAUUAAUUCGAUGCAACGCGAAGAACCUUACCAAGGCUUGACAUACACCGGAAUCGGCCAGAGAUGGUCGCGUCUUCGGACUGGUGUACAGGUGGUGCAUGGUUGUCGUCAGCUCGUGUCGUGAGAUGUUGGGUUAAGUCCCGCAACGAGCGCAACCCUCGUCCUAUGUUGCCAGCACGUUAUGGUGGGGACUCAUAGGAGACUGCCGGGGUCAACUCGGAGGAAGGUGGGGAUGACGUCAAAUCAUCAUGCCCCUUAUGUCUUGGGCUUCACGCAUGCUACAAUGGCCGGUACAAAGGGCUGCGAUACCGCGAGGUGGAGCGAAUCCCAAAAAGCCGGUCUCAGUUCGGAUUGGGGUCUGCAACUCGACCCCAUGAAGUCGGA